GAUGAACGCUGGCGGCGUGCCUAAUACAUGCAAGUCGAGCGAACAGACGAGGAGCUUGCUCCUCUGACGUUAGCGGCGGACGGGUGAGUAACACGUGGAUAACCUACCUUUUAGUCUGGGAUAACUUCUGGAAACCGGAGCAAAUACCGGAUAAUAUAUUGAACCGCAUGGUUCAAUAGUGAAAGACGGCUUUUCUGUCACUUAUAGCUGGAUCCGCGCCGCAUUAUCUAGUUGGUAAUGUAACGGCCUACCAAGGAGACGCAUCGUAGCCGACCUAAGAGAAUGGUCGGCCACAGUAGAGCGAAGACCAGAAACCGCCUCCUACGGGACGCAAGAGUAGGGGAGCGUCCGAAAUACGAGAAAGCCUGACGGAGCAACAGCGCGUCGGUGAGGAAGGUCUACGGGUCGUAAAGCACUGUUUUUAGGGGAGAACAAAUGUGUAAGUAACUGUACACGUCAAGACGGUACCUAAUCAGCAAGCCACGGCGAACAACGAG
RNAcentral lists this ribosomal RNA (497 nucleotides) under uncultured bacterium. RNAcentral's name for it is "partial 16S ribosomal RNA". It matches the Rfam family "Bacterial small subunit ribosomal RNA", at positions 28 to 507 of the family's 1533-position model. The record is from RNAcentral.